RNAcentral lists this transfer RNA (75 nucleotides) under Trichonephila inaurata madagascariensis. RNAcentral's name for it is "tRNA-Arg". It matches the Rfam family "tRNA". From Rfam's summary of the family: Transfer RNA (tRNA) molecules are approximately 80 nucleotides in length. Their secondary structure includes four short double-helical elements and three loops (D, anti-codon, and T loops). Lineage: Eukaryota; Metazoa; Arthropoda; Arachnida; Araneae; Nephilidae. The record is from RNAcentral.
GUUCCUGUCGCGCAAUUGAUAGCGCGUUGGACUUCUAAUCCAAAGGUCGUAGUUUCGAAUUCUAUCUGGAUGGCC